This 850-nucleotide ribosomal RNA is filed under the name uncultured bacterium. RNAcentral describes it as "bacterial SSU rRNA". It matches the Rfam family "Bacterial small subunit ribosomal RNA", at positions 524 to 1381 of the family's 1533-position model. The record is from RNAcentral.
UACGGAGGAUGCGAGCGUUAUCCGGAAUCAUUGGGUUUAAAGGGUCCGUAGGCGGUUUAAUAAGUCAGUGGUGAAAUCUGGUCGCUCAACGAUCAAACUGCCAUUGAUACUGUUAGACUUGAAUAAUUGUGAAGUAACUAGAAUAUGUAGUGUAGCGGUGAAAUGCUUAGAUAUUACAUGGAAUACCAAUUGCGAAGGCAGGUUACUAACAAUUUAUUGACGCUGAUGGACGAAAGCGUGGGGAGCGAACAGGAUUAGAUACCCUGGUAGUCCACGCCGUAAACGAUGGAUACUAGCUGUUCGGAGUGAUCUGAGUGGCUAAGCGAAAGUGAUAAGUAUCCCACCUGGGGAGUACGCACGCAAGUGUGAAACUCAAAGGAAUUGACGGGGGCCCGCACAAGCGGUGGAGCAUGUGGUUUAAUUCGAUGAUACGCGAGGAACCUUACCAGGGCUUAAAUGGGAGUGGACAGCUUAGGAAACUAGGCCUUCUUCGGACCACUUUCAAGGUGCUGCAUGGUUGUCGUCAGCUCGUGCCGUGAGGUGUCAGGUUAAGUCCUAUAACGAGCGCAACCCCUGUCGUUAGUUGCCAGCGAGUGAUGUCGGGAACUCUAACGAGACUGCCGGUGUAAACCGUGAGGAAGGUGGGGAUGACGUCAAAUCAUCACGGCCCUUACGUCCUGGGCCACACACGUGCUACAAUGGCCAGUACAGAGAGCAGCCACUUAGCGAUAAGGAGCGAAUCUUCAAAACUGGUCUCAGUUCGGAUUGGAGUCUGCAACUCGACUCUAUGAAGCUGGAAUCGCUAGUAAUCGGAUAUCAGCCAUGAUCCGGUGAAUACGUUCCCGGGCCU